RNAcentral lists this ribosomal RNA (506 nucleotides) under uncultured bacterium. RNAcentral's name for it is "partial 16S ribosomal RNA". It matches the Rfam family "Bacterial small subunit ribosomal RNA", at positions 29 to 523 of the family's 1533-position model. The record is from RNAcentral.
AGUGAACGCUGGCGGUAGGCCUAACACAUGCAAGUCGAACGGCAGCACAGGAGAGCUUGCUCUCUGGGUGGCGAGUGGCGGACGGGUGAGGAAUACAUCGGAAUCUACUCUGUCGUGGGGGAUAACGUAGGGAAACUUACGCUAAUACCGCAUACGACCCACGGGUGAAAGCAGGGGAUCUUCGGACCUUGCGCGAUUGAAUGAGCCGAUGUCGGAUUAGCUAGUUGGCGGGGUAAAGGCCCACCAAGGCGACGAUCCGUAGCUGGUCUGAGAGGAUGAUCAGCCGCACUGGAACUGAGACACGGUCCAGACUCCUACGGGAGGCAGCAGUGGGGAAUAUUGGACAAUGGGCGCAAGCCUGAUCCAGCCAUACCGCGUGGGUGAAGAAGGCCUUCGGGUUGUAAAGCCCUUUUGUUGGGAAAGAAAUCCAGCUGGCUAAUACCCGGUUGGGAUGACGGUACCCAAAGAAUAAGCACCGGCUAACUUCGUGCCAGCAGCCGCCGUAA